This 837-nucleotide ribosomal RNA is filed under the name Sphaerulina pelargonii. RNAcentral's name for it is "eukaryotic LSU rRNA". It matches the Rfam family "Eukaryotic large subunit ribosomal RNA", at positions 66 to 932 of the family's 3401-position model. The record is from RNAcentral. Lineage: Eukaryota; Fungi; Ascomycota; Dothideomycetes; Mycosphaerellales; Mycosphaerellaceae.
CAACAGGGAUUGCCCUAGUAACGGCGAGUGAAGCGGCAACAGCUCAAAUUUGAAAUCUGGCGCAAGCCCGAGUUGUAAUUUGUAGAGGAUGCUUCUGGGUAGCGACCGGUCUAAGUUCCUUGGAACAGGACGUCAUAGAGGGUGAGAAUCCCGUAUGUGACCGGCCCGCACCCUUUACGUAGCUCCUUCGACGAGUCGAGUUGUUUGGGAAUGCAGCUCUAAAUGGGAGGUAAAUUUCUUCUAAAGCUAAAUACCGGCCAGAGACCGAUAGCGCACAAGUAGAGUGAUCGAAAGAUGAAAAGUACUUUGGAAAGAGAGUUAAAAAGCACGUGAAAUUGUUGAAAGGGAAGCGCCUGCAAUCAGACUUCGCGGCAGUGUUCCACCGGUCUUCUGACCGGUCUAUUCUCUGUCGCGAGGCCAUCAUCGUCUCGGCCCGCUGGAUAAGACCUUGGGAAUGUAGCUCACCUUCGGGGGAGUGUUAUAGCUCAUGGUGAUGCAGCGAGGCUGGGGCGAGGUCCGCGCUUCGGCAAGGAUGAUGGCGUAAUGGUUGUCGGCGGCCCGUCUUGAAACACGGACCAAGGAGUCUAACAUCUAUGCGAGUGUUCGGGUGUCAAACCCCUACGCGUAAUGAAAGUGAACGGAGGUGGGAACCGCAAGGUGCACCAUCGACCGAUCCUGAUGUCCUCGGAUGGAUUUGAGUAAGAGCAUAGCUGUUGGGACCCGAAAGAUGGUGAACUAUGCCUGAAUAGGGUGAAGCCAGAGGAAACUCUGGUGGAGGCUCGCAGCGGUUCUGACGUGCAAAUCGAUCGUCAAAUUUGGGUAUAGGGGCGAAAGACU